This is an RNA transcript of Beta vulgaris subsp. vulgaris (sugar beet), 1252 nucleotides long. RefSeq lists it as uncharacterized. The record is from RefSeq and is a predicted model, not a curated record. The transcript is spliced from 3 exons. NCBI's taxonomy places the organism in Eukaryota, Viridiplantae, Streptophyta, Magnoliopsida, Caryophyllales, Amaranthaceae.
UUAAAAAUUAUAUUAAGUAUUUCUUUUAAAUUAUUAGCGAAGGUAUAUAAUAGAAGAAAGAUAAAAAGAAAAGGUAAAAACAAUUAAAAAGAAAAAGAAAACAAAAAAUAGAGAAGAGUAAGGAGUAAGUGGCGAGUAAUCCUAUCUUCUCAGUUCUCACUCCCUCCUCUGCGGCGCGACGCCAUAGAUAACCCUUGAAGGCUCGGCUACGACGGCCGACGACACUACUCCACCACUACUAUGAGCGGCGGUGCAGAAAAAAGCACCAAAAAUCGGUGAAAAAAGAACCUUAAGAAGAAGAAGGUGUGAGAGCACCUGGACAGAAAUACAGAAUCACAGAACACUUAAUAAGAUAUGUCUAGUAGUACACAACCAAUGUCAUCAACACCUCAUGGCUCAACUACUUCUCCAUUCAUAGUAGAAGAAUUUUAUGUCAACGACGAUGAUCGUGUGCUAUAUGUGAAUUUGGAAAAUGAGGAGGAACAAAGUGACCCACCCCUUUCAAAUGCAACUGGAAAUGAGUCGGAGCCUCAAAAGGAAAGUCAACCAUCAAAGAGAAAGAGAGCAAAAGUAUCUGAGGUUUGGAAAGAUAUGGAAUCGGUUAAAAAUAUGAAAACCAAGUGUAAGCAUUGUCAUCAAGUGUUAAGUGCUUCAGGUACAACUACUCACUUAAAGCGGCAGCUUAAAAGUUGUUUGAAAAAAAAAAAGAAUCAAAGACAACAAAAUAUGCUUAAUUUUUUGCCUUCGAAUCUAAAUGACGGUGAUCCUAGUUUUAAGUUUGUUAGCGCUUUACAUGAAGAAAGUUUGAUAUGAUGGUAAUGAGGGAAGGGAUAGCACAUUGGAUUUUGAUGCAUGAACAUGCUUUUUCCAUUGUUGAAGAAGAAGGGUUUAAUUUAAUGUUAAAAAGGGGAAUUCUACAAUGGACUAGUGUGUCACGUCACACUAUAAGAACUGAUUCUUUUAAAGUUUAUGAGGUGGAAAAAAAUAAAUAGAAGAAUUUGCUAAAAACUGUGGAGAAAAUUUCUCUAACUACUGAUUUAUGGCGUUCCAAGCCUCAAAAAAUUGAGUAUAUGGUUCUUACGGCUCAUUUUGUUGAUAAAAAUUGGAAGUUGCAAAAGCGGGUUCUCAACUUUGUCCACAUUCCUCCUCCUCGAAAAGGAAAGGACAUAGCCAAUUGCAUUUUUAAAUGUCUAAAGGAGUGGGGUAUUGAGAGCAAAGUAAGUUAUAGUCUUUUUUUCUUCAAAUUUAUUUA